RNAcentral lists this ribosomal RNA (998 nucleotides) under Candidatus Woesearchaeota archaeon. RNAcentral describes it as "bacterial SSU rRNA". It matches the Rfam family "Archaeal small subunit ribosomal RNA", at positions 1 to 920 of the family's 1478-position model. The record is from RNAcentral. Lineage: Archaea; Nanobdellati; Candidatus Woesearchaeota.
AUUUCCGUUUAUCCUGCGGACGAUCGCUGCUAUUAGGAUCCGAUUUAGCCAUGCAAGUUUUCCGCAAGGAAGCGAACUGCUCAGUAACAUAUCGAUAAUCUGCCUUCAGGUCUGGGACACCCUCGCGAAAGUGAGGCUAAACCCGGAUAUUGGAUUGGUGGUGGAAUCCUCUUUCCAUGAAAAGCAAUGCCUGAAGAUGAGUCGAUAGCCGAUUAGGUUGUUGGCGGGGUAACGGCCCACCAAGCCAGAGAUCGGUAGGGGCGUUGAGAGACGUAGCCCCGAGAAGGGCACUGAGACACUGGCCCUAGCCCUACGGGGUGCAGCAGUCGCGAAACCUUUACACUACGCGCAAGCGUGAUAAGGGGAUCCUAAGUGCUCAUGCACUGCAUGGGCUUUUGCCAAGGGUAAAAACCUUGGCGAAUAAGUGGUGGACAAGACUGGUGCCAGCCGCCGCGGUAACCCCAGCGCCACUAGUGGGGAUCGUAUUUAUUUGGCCUAAAGCGCCCGUAGCCGGGCCGUUUAAUCUCUUGUGAAAUCGUCAGGCUUAACUUGACGGCGUGCAGGAGACACUGACGGCCUAGGGACUGGGAGGCGUCAGAUGUAUGCAAGGGGGAGCAGUAAAAUAUACUCACUAACAUUCGUAAGUUACCUUCGCUACGCUCGGUAACCAUACUCGCUAGCGUAGGUAAACGUAAAACGUUGGUGAUGUUUACAGUGCUAUAAUCCCUUGUAGACAACCUGUGGCGAAGGCGUCUGACGAGAACAGGUCCGACGGUCAGGGGCGAAAGCUAGGGGAGCAAUCCGGAUUAGAUACCCGAGUAGUCCUAGCCGUAAACACUGCGAGCAAGGUGUUGCAUAUUCUUCGUGGAUAUGCAGUGUCGAAGAGAAGUCGUUAAGCUCGCCGCCUGGGGAGUACGGUCGCAAGACUGAAACUUAAAGGAAUUGGCGGGGGAGUACUACAAGGGGUGCGGCGUGCGGUUUAAUUUAAUUCAACGCAG